CAAAUGCUUCACACAUUUGAAAUGUCUGUUUUUAGGACUUUGAAGUGGGCAAAAUGUAUAAGAAGAAAAUCGUCCUGACGAACACCAGCCACGUGACUAACUACUGCAAGCUGCUCGGGCUGUCUGCGCAGCUGAAGGAUUUUAUUUCUAUCAACCUGCCAGCAGCCCACAGGCCGAGCAGGCUGGUGUCGUUCUCCAGGUCACUCUUGAUGUACCACUUUGCUCCGCUCCCCACCAUCUCUAGCUGCCUGAUUGAAGAGUUUCCCCAGCAACAGCAGAGUCAACUUAAAACCUACUGAACUCUUGAGCCGUCUUGCUGAACUACAGAUUUAUAGUCACUUCAAAGAAGGAUUUGCCAUAGUGAUGAUACCUCAGUCAGUUUUUCAAAUAAUCCAAGGUACCUGGUGAUACAGGAGGUUCAUAACUUUGAUUUGAAAGGCCUGGAUCAGUACCUAAUGUUGGUGAUGGAAAGCUAAUGUUCCUUCAUUAUUUAAAGUCUUCAGCAAAUAUUAUAUAAUUUCAUAAUGCUGUCAUUGUACUGGAGCGGAAGCUGUCACAUUGGCUUUAUUGCGUACAAUUUAGAUUGUCCAUCAUCCGUGCACACACUAUUUCCAACCAAAAUAACAAAACUAUCUUUUCUUUUUCCAUCACAUAUUUG
RNAcentral lists this long non-coding RNA (658 nucleotides) under Betta splendens (Siamese fighting fish). RNAcentral's name for it is "lncRNA (ENSBSLG00000024601.1)". Lineage: Eukaryota; Metazoa; Chordata; Actinopteri; Anabantiformes; Osphronemidae. The record is from RNAcentral.